Molecule: ribosomal RNA, 259 nt
Filed under: uncultured bacterium
Lineage: Bacteria
Description: partial 16S ribosomal RNA
Rfam family: Bacterial small subunit ribosomal RNA
Source: RNAcentral
ACGUAAACAACCUGCCUUCAGGAUGGGGACAACAGACGGAAACGACUGCUAAUACCGAAUAAGUUCCAAGAGCCGCAUGGCCCAUGGAAGAAAAAGGUGGCCUCUACCUGUAAGCUAUCGCCUGAAGAGGGGUUUGCGUCUGAUUAGCUGGUUGGAGGGGUAACGGCCCACCAAGGCGACGAUCAGUAGCCGGUCUGAGAGGAUGAACGGCCACACUGGAACUGAGACACGGUCCAGACUCCUACGGGAGGCAGCCAUG